RNAcentral lists this ribosomal RNA (442 nucleotides) under uncultured bacterium. Its description in RNAcentral is "bacterial SSU rRNA". It matches the Rfam family "Bacterial small subunit ribosomal RNA", at positions 958 to 1398 of the family's 1533-position model. The record is from RNAcentral.
AACGCGAAGAACCUUACCUGGGCUCGAAGCGCAGUGGACCGGGGUAGAAAUAUCCCUUCCCCUUAAAAGGCUGCUGCGGAGGUGCUGCAUGGCUGUCGUCAGCUCGUGUCGUGAGAUGUUGGGUUAAGUCCCGCAACGAGCGCAACCCUUAUCCCUAGUUGCCAUCGGGUCAAGCCGGGCACUCUAGUGAAACCGCUUCGGAUAACGGAGAGGAAGGUGGGGAUGACGUCAAGUCAGCACGGCCUUUAUGUCCAGGGCUACACACGUGUUACAAUGCAUGGUACAGACUGUUGCGAACCCGCGAGGGGGAGCUAAUCGGCCAAAGCCAUGCUCAGUUCGGAUUGCAGUCUGCAACUCGACUGCAUGAAGCUGGAAUCGCUAGUAAUGGCGCAUCAGAUCGGCGCCGUGAAUACGUUCCCGGGCCUUGUACACACCGUACGUC